CCCUUAGAUGUUCUGGGCCGCACGCGCGCUACACUGACGAAUGCAACGAGCUUAUAACCUUGGCCGAAAGGUCUGGGUAAUCUCCAAAUUUCGUCGUGAUGGGGAUAGAUUAUUGCAAUUAUUAAUCUUCAACGAGGAAUGCCUAGUAAGCGCAAGUCAUCAGCUUGCGUUGAUUACGUCCCUGCCCUUUGUACACACCGCCCGUCGCUCCUACCGAUUGAAUGGUCCGGUGAAGCGCUCGGACCGCGGCCUCUUGCCGGUUCGCUGUCGAUUGGCUGUGGGAAGUUCGUUAAACCUUAUCAUUUAGAGGAAGGAGAAGUCGUAACA
RNAcentral lists this ribosomal RNA (327 nucleotides) under uncultured eukaryote. Its description in RNAcentral is "partial 18S ribosomal RNA". It matches the Rfam family "Eukaryotic small subunit ribosomal RNA", at positions 1470 to 1796 of the family's 1831-position model. The record is from RNAcentral.